AGAGUUUGAUCAUGGCUCAGAACGAACGCUGGCGGCGUGCCUAACACAUGCAAGUCGAACGGAAAGGCCCUUCGGGGUACUCGAGUGGCGCACGGGUGCGUAACGCGUGGGUGAUCUGCCCUGCACUUUGGGAUAAGCCUGGGAAACUGGGUCUAAUACCGAAUAUGACCAUGCACUUCCUGGUGUGUGGUGGAAAGCUUUUGCGGUGUGGGAUGGGCCCGCGGCCUAUCAGCUUGUUGGUGGGGUAAUGGCCUACCAAGGCGACGACGGGUAGCCGGCCUGAGAGGGUGACCGGCCACACUGGGACUGAGAUACGGCCCAGACUCCUACGGGAGGCAGCAGUGGGGAAUAUUGCACAAUGGGCGCAAGCCUGAUGCAGCGACGCCGCGUGAGGGAUGACGGCCUUCGGGUUGUAAACCUCUUUCAGCACAGACGAAGCGCAAGUGACGGUAUGUGCAGAAGAAGGACCGGCCAACUACGUGCCAGCAGCCGCGGUAAUACGUAGGGUCCGAGCGUUGUCCGGAAUUACUGGGCGUAAAGAGCUCGUAGGUGGUUUGUCGCGUUGUUCGUGAAAACUCACAGCUUAACUGUGGGCGUGCGGGCGAUACGGGCAGACUUGAGUACUGCAGGGGAGACUGGAAUUCCUGGUGUAGCGGUGGAAUGCGCAGAUAUCAGGAGGGACACCGAUGGCGAAGGCGGGUCUCUGGGCAGUAACUGACGCUGAGGAGCGAAAGCGUGGGGAGCGAACAGGAUUAGAUACCCUGGUAGUCC
Molecule: ribosomal RNA, 771 nt
Filed under: uncultured bacterium
Lineage: Bacteria
Description: bacterial SSU rRNA
Rfam family: Bacterial small subunit ribosomal RNA
Source: RNAcentral